RNAcentral lists this long non-coding RNA (1098 nucleotides) under Strigops habroptila (Kakapo). Its description in RNAcentral is "lncRNA (ENSSHBG00005003260.1)". Lineage: Eukaryota; Metazoa; Chordata; Aves; Psittaciformes; Psittacidae. The record is from RNAcentral.
UUUUUUGCCUCUUCUCUUGGGCAAACUUAGCUUUCUUCUUGAGAACUUGCCCUUCCUUCCUCUCCCAUUUCUCCAUUUUUGAAGGACUUCUUCCCCCUUACCUCUUCAUCUUUUGAUUACUACUUCGUGGAUCUACUUCUACUGCAUGAGGGCAUUGCAGCCGGGCAGCCCAGAGAGGGCUUCUUUCACCAAUGCCCUACCAAAAGAGGGCACUGACGUUGCCUUCAUCGUCCUCAGACCUUCCUGUCCUUUCAGCUGCUCUCACGAGGAGACUGAACACUUGAACUCCCAAAGGAGAGCAACUGAGUACUGCGAGGCAGCAGCUCUUUACUGUUACUUGCAAAGAGACAGAGAAAUGUAGAUAAAAUUCAAGCCUGAAGCAUAAUUUCAAUGCUCUCCGCCAAUGCAUGUUAAAUAGGUGCUAAUGUUUCACGCAGACCCCCUACCUAAUUAAUCCGAAUGAAAUCCGAGCUGUAAGAGCACCCAAUUACACGCAUAUCCACGCAAACGCGAGGACCUCUCACGGUAAAGCGCCGCUUGACAGGCAGCCGGAGGGGACCCCAUCCGCUCCUGGGUCCCCCUCACCCACGGAGCCCCGACGGCGGACACUCCAGCACGGCCCUCCCGGUGCCACCCGCGGGUAUCCUGGGUCGGCGAGAGUUUGUCACGGCGUCCUUAAAACCUGCGUAGUGAGGGUAUUUUGCAAGCCCAGAAACAGGCGGGAGGACCCGGGUGAGGCGAGCGCGGGCAGCACCGCACGCUCCCGUUUAUCUCCUGUCAAGGCGACAGGAGGGAGGGGACACGGUUACCUCGUCGGGGUCUCGCUAGGCGAGGGUUUGGACAAGCCUUAGAAAGACUAGCGGGGGCUCAGCGCGGCUCCUUCGGCGCGACAGUAGUGUCUCACCGCUUCCCCGAUCCCGCACCUCGGGGCGAGCUAAUGGGGGUUCUUGCCUGCGAAAAGAAGAGACGCCCCGGAGAAGCCGCCGGGGAGCGAGCCGAAACCCUGAGGGGUGCGGGGAGGGGGAGGGAGCGGGCAAAGUUUUACCCCCGCCGGCUGCACACCGCGGUGCCCGUCUACCGGGCGGGAAGAGGAUCCCC